GUGCUCGCUUUGGCAACACAUAUACUAAAAUUGGAUUGAUACACAAAAGAUUAGCAUGGCCCCUGCACAAAGAUGACAUGUGAAUUCUUGAAGUGUUUCAUAUUUAA
Small nuclear RNA from Suncus etruscus (white-toothed pygmy shrew), 107 nucleotides. NCBI's taxonomy places the organism in Eukaryota, Metazoa, Chordata, Mammalia, Eulipotyphla, Soricidae. The record is from RefSeq and is a predicted model, not a curated record.